GGGCAAAUUGACACCGUAACUUCGGAAGAAGGUGUGCCUUUAGUAGGUGAACCCGUACAGGGGGAGCCCAAUGAGGUUGCAAAGAAUCGGUGGCUGCGACUGUUUAAUAAAAACACAGCACUCUGCAAACACGAAAGUGGACGUAUAGGGUGUGACGCCUGCCCGGUGCUGGAAGAUUAAGUGAUGGGGUGCAAGCUCUUGAUCGAAGUCCCAGUAAACGGCGGCCGUAACGAUAACGGUCCUAAGGUAGCGAAAUUCCUUGUCGGGUAAGUUCCGACCUGCACGAAUGGCGUAACGAUGGCCACACUGUCUCCUCCCGAGACUCAGCGAAGUUGAAAUGUUUGUGAUGAUGCAAUCUCCCCGCGGAAAGACGGAAAGACCCCAUGAACCUUUACUGUAGCUUUGUAUUGGACUUUGAACGGAUCUGUGUAGGAUAGGUGGGAGGCUUUGAAGCAGGGUCGCUAGAUCUUGUGGAGCCAACGUUGAAAUACCACCCUGGUGCGUUUGAGGUUCUAACCUAGGCCCGUUAUCCGGGUCGGGGACAGUGCAUGGUAGGCAGUUUGACUGGGGCGGUCUCCUCCCAAAGCGUAACGGAGGAGUUCGAAGGUACGCUAGUUACGGUCGGACAUCGUGACGAUAGUGCAAUGGCAUAAGCGUGCUUAACUGCGAGACUGACAAGUCGAGCAGAUGCGAAAGCAGGACAUAGUGAUCCGGUGGUUCUGUAUGGAAGGGCCAUCGCUCAACGGAUAAAAGGUACUCUGGGGAUAACAGGCUGAUACCGCCCAAGAGUUCAUAUCGACGGCGGUGUUUGGCACCUCGAUGUCGGCUCAUCUCAUCCUGGGGCUGUAGCCGGUCCCAAGGGUAUGGCUGUUCGCCAUUUAAAGAGGUACGUGAGCUGGGUUUAAAACGUCGUGAGACAGUUUGGUCCCUAUCUUCCGUGGGCGCUGCAGAUUUGAGGAAGCCUGCUCCUAGUACGAGAGGACCGGAGUGGACGCACCUCUGGUGUACCUGUUGUCACGCCAGUGGCAUUGCAGGGUAGCUAAGUGCGGAAGAGAUAACCGCUGAAAGCAUCUAAGCGGGAAACUCGUUUCAAGAUGAGAUCUGCCGGGGCCUUGAGCCCCCUGAAGAGUCGUUCUAGACCAGGACGUUGAUAGGCUGGGUGUGGAAGCGCAGUAAUGCGUUAAGCUAACCAGUACUAAUUGCUCGUGCGGCUUGACCGU
RNAcentral lists this ribosomal RNA (1220 nucleotides) under metagenome. RNAcentral's name for it is "bacterial LSU rRNA". It matches the Rfam family "Bacterial large subunit ribosomal RNA", at positions 1715 to 2925 of the family's 2925-position model. The record is from RNAcentral.